UACGUAGGGGGCAAGCGUUGUCCGGAAUCACUGGGCGUAAAGCGUGCGUAGGCGGUCAUGUAAGUCCGGAGUGAAAGUCCAGGGCUCAACCCUGGGAAUGCUUUGGAAACUGUGUGACUUGAGUGCUGGAGAGGCAAGGGGAAUUCAACGUGUAGCGGUGAAAUGCGUAGAUAUGUGGAGGAAUACCAGUGGCGAAGGCGCCUUGCUGGACAGAAACUGACGCUGAGGCACGAAAGCGUGGGGAGCAAACAGG
This 253-nucleotide ribosomal RNA is filed under the name uncultured bacterium. Its description in RNAcentral is "partial 16S ribosomal RNA". It matches the Rfam family "Bacterial small subunit ribosomal RNA", at positions 524 to 776 of the family's 1533-position model. The record is from RNAcentral.